UACGAAGGGUGCAAACGUUGCUCGGAAUUAUUGGGCGUAAAGCGCACGUAGGCGGCUUUGUAAGUUGGAUGUGAAAGCCCUCGGCUCAACUGAGGAAGUGCACCCGAAACUGGCGAGCUUGAGUACGAAAGAGGAUCGCGGAAUUCCCGGUGUAGAGGUGAAAUUCGUAGAUAUCGGGAGGAACACCGGUGGCGAAGGCGGCGACCUGGGCCAAUAUUGACGCUGAGGUGGCGAAAGCGUGGGGAGCAAACAGGAU
This 256-nucleotide ribosomal RNA is filed under the name uncultured bacterium. Its description in RNAcentral is "partial 16S ribosomal RNA". It matches the Rfam family "Bacterial small subunit ribosomal RNA", at positions 524 to 778 of the family's 1533-position model. The record is from RNAcentral.